UGGGGAAUAUUGCGCAAUGGGGGAAACCCUGACGCAGCGACGCCGUGUGAGGGAAGAAGGCUUUCGGGUCGUAAACCUCUGUCGGGAGGGAAGAACCUUCCAGGUCUGAACAAGGCUUGGAACUGACGGUACCUCCAAAGGAAGCACCGGCUAACUCCGUGCCAGCAGCCGCGGUAAUACGGAGGGUGCAAGCGUUAAUCGGAAUCACUGGGCGUAAAGCGCGCGUAGGCGGUCUUUUAAGUCGGACGUGAAAGCCCUCGGCUCAACCGGGGAACUGCGUUCGAAACUGGGAGACUUGAGUCCUGGAGAGGGUGGCGGAAUUCCGGGUGUAGGAGUGAAAUCCGUAGAUAUCCGGAGGAACACCGGUGGCGAAGGCGGCCACCUGGACAGGUACUGACGCUGAGGCGCGAAAGCGUGGGGAGCAAACA
RNAcentral lists this ribosomal RNA (428 nucleotides) under uncultured prokaryote. Its description in RNAcentral is "bacterial SSU rRNA". It matches the Rfam family "Bacterial small subunit ribosomal RNA", at positions 355 to 774 of the family's 1533-position model. The record is from RNAcentral.